UACAGAGGGUGCAAGCGUUAAUCGGAAUUACUGGGCGUAAAGCGCACGUAGGUGGGUAUUUAAGUCGGUUGUGAAAGCCCUGGGCUUAACCUGGGAACUGCAGUCGAUACUGGAUAUCUAGAGUAUGAUAGAGGUAAGUGGAAUUCCCGGUGUAGCGGUGAAAUGCGUAGAUAUCGGGAGGAACAUCAGUGGCGAAGGCGACUUACUGGAUCAAUACUGACACUGAGGUGCGAGAGCAUGGGGAG
This 245-nucleotide ribosomal RNA is filed under the name uncultured bacterium. RNAcentral's name for it is "partial 16S ribosomal RNA". It matches the Rfam family "Bacterial small subunit ribosomal RNA", at positions 524 to 768 of the family's 1533-position model. The record is from RNAcentral.